UACGGAAUGUGCAAACGUUAUUCGGAAUCACUGGGCUUAAAGAGUCCGUAGGCGGCAUGUUAGGUGAGGUGUGAAAUCCCCCGGCUCAACCGAGGAAUUGCGCUUCAAACCGGCGUGCUUGAGGAAGAUAGAGGUGGGCGGAACUGAUGGUGGAGCGGUGAAAUGCGUUGAUAUCAUCAGGAACACCGGAGGCGAAGGCGGAUCUCUGGGCCAUUACUGACGCUGAGGAGCGAAAGCGUGGGGAGCGAACAGG
RNAcentral lists this ribosomal RNA (253 nucleotides) under uncultured bacterium. RNAcentral describes it as "partial 16S ribosomal RNA". It matches the Rfam family "Bacterial small subunit ribosomal RNA", at positions 524 to 776 of the family's 1533-position model. The record is from RNAcentral.